This 801-nucleotide ribosomal RNA is filed under the name Frankliniella occidentalis (western flower thrips). RNAcentral describes it as "eukaryotic LSU rRNA". It matches the Rfam family "Eukaryotic large subunit ribosomal RNA", at positions 1 to 634 of the family's 3401-position model. The record is from RNAcentral. Lineage: Eukaryota; Metazoa; Arthropoda; Insecta; Thysanoptera; Thripidae.
GACCUCAGUUCAGGUGAGAUUACCGGCUGAAUUUAAGCAUAUUACUAAGCCGAGGAAAAGAAACUAACAAGGAUUCCCCUAGUAGCAGCGAGCGAACAGGGAAGAGCCCAGCGCUGAAUCCCCCGGGCCUCGCUCGGCGGGAAAUGUAGCGUUUGGGAGGGCCCGUCAACACGGCGACUCGCUCACUGGUUCAAGUCCAACUUGAAUGGGGCCACACAGAGGGUGACAGGCCCGUAGAGCAGGAGCGGUUGUCGUGUGGGUCUCUCCUUAGAGUCGGUUUGCUUGAGAGUGCAGACUUAAGUGGGUGGUAAACUCCAUCUAAGGCUAAAUAUGACCACGAGACCGAUAGCACACAAGUACCGUGAGGGAAAGGUGAAAAGAACUUUGAAGAGAGAGUUCAAGAGUACGUGAAACUGAAGUGGUGUAAACGGACGAGUUCGAAAAGUCCGAAUGGUGAGAUUCAAGCUUACCGUGCCGGUGGCCCUCGGGUUCAGAUGGCGUCGUCAGCUCGGGCUUCGGUUCGGGUCAUACGGCGUCACUCGUCCUGGGGGUAUCUGUCUGGUGCGGUGGGCUGCACUUCUCGCCUAGUAGGACGUCGCGACCCGUUGGGAUGUUCCGUUCACUGGCCCUCGGUGGAGCCCGCGCCGGAGCGUGGCCUUGUGCCGCGUUGCUGUUUGCACGGACCCGGGGUGACCUGAUCGGCGCCCGACGGUAUCAAAGCUUGGGAAGAGGCCGCACAGAGGAUGCGUUCGAUGGCCGUUUCGGCCUACACUCGGACAGGCCUGCACCCGGUCAGCGGCG